This 624-nucleotide ribosomal RNA is filed under the name uncultured bacterium. Its description in RNAcentral is "bacterial SSU rRNA". The stretch from base 1 to 541 matches the Rfam family "Bacterial small subunit ribosomal RNA", at positions 338 to 873 of the family's 1533-position model. The record is from RNAcentral.
CCUACGGGAGGCAGCAGUGGGGAAUCUUGCGCAAUGGGCGAAAGCCUGACGCAGCGACGCCGCGUGGGUGAUGAAGGCCUUCGGGUUGUAAAGCUCUGUGGGGAGAGACGAAUAAGGCAUGGCUAAUAUCCAUGGUGAUGACGGUAUCUCCUUAGCAAGCACCGGCUAACUCUGUGCCAGCAGCCGCGGUAAGACAGAGGGUGCAAACGUUGUUCGGAAUUACUGGGCGUAAAGCGUGUGUAGGCGGCCAAGUAAGUUGGAUGUGAAAGCCCGGGGCUCAACCCCGGAAGUGCAUUCAAUACUGCAUGGCUUGAGUAUCGGAGAGGUUGGUGGAAUUCUCGGUGUAGAGGUGAAAUCCGUAGAUAUCGAGAGGAACACCGGUGGCGAAGGCGGCCAACUGGACGAAUACUGACGCUGAGACACGAAAGCGUGGGGAGCAAACAGGAUUAGAUACCCUGGUAGUCCACGCCGUAAAACGAUGGGUGCGUAGUGUCGACGGCGAUGUACUCCGUCGGUGCGUACGCACGCAUAGACACCCGCCGCGGAGACGGCCGCGAGACGUAAACGUAACGUAAGAAGUAGACGGACGUGAGACGNGCCGACGGACGACGACGAGGGAGGAGG